GGCUGCCUACGGGGCGCAGCAGUGAGGAAUAUUGGUCAAUGGGAGGAAUCCUGAACCAGCCAUGCCGCGUGCAGGAUGACGGCUCUAUGAGUUGUAAACUGCUUUUGUACGAGGGUAAACCCCGAUACGUGUAUCGGGUUGAAAGUAUCGUACGAAUAAGGAUCGGCUAACUCCGUGCCAGCAGCCGCGGUAAUACGGAGGAUCCGAGCGUUAUCCGGAUUUAUUGGGUUUAAAGGGUGCGUAGGCGGUUUGAUAAGUUAGAGGUGAAAUGUCGGGGCUCAACCCCGAACAUGCCUCUAAUACUU
This 305-nucleotide ribosomal RNA is filed under the name uncultured bacterium. RNAcentral's name for it is "bacterial SSU rRNA". It matches the Rfam family "Bacterial small subunit ribosomal RNA", at positions 333 to 635 of the family's 1533-position model. The record is from RNAcentral.